This 253-nucleotide ribosomal RNA is filed under the name uncultured bacterium. RNAcentral's name for it is "partial 16S ribosomal RNA". It matches the Rfam family "Bacterial small subunit ribosomal RNA", at positions 524 to 776 of the family's 1533-position model. The record is from RNAcentral.
UACGGAGGGUGCAAGCGUUAUCCGGAUUUACUGGGUUUAAAGGGUGCGCAGGCGGAUAUGUAAGUCAGUGGUGAAAUCUCCAGGCUUAACCUGGAAAUUGCCGUUGAUACUAUAUAUCUUGAAUGCUGUGGAGGUAAGCGGAAUAUGUCAUGUAGCGGUGAAAUGCUUAGAGAUGACAUAGAACACCUAUUGCGAAGGCAGCUUACUACGGGAACAUUGACACUGAGGCACGAAAGCGUGGGGAUCAAACAGG